GGCAUGGAUGGUGAUCCUUCUGUCCAGUCUACGCUGGCCAUGCUGGCCCUGAGGCCUGGAACUGGGGAGCACGAGCAGGAUGACAUCUCCAGUGUCUGUCUGGGUCACCUGUUAGCGGAUGAGAAGUCCAGCCUUACUGCCUGUUCUCCACCUGCAUUUAGGCUUCAUCCCUGGAAUGUCACCUUCUGUCUUCUGGAAAACGUCUAGGCUCUGCUGCCAUACAGAACCCUUCUGCUUCCUUAAGGAGACGGUCCACUGUCCCCUUGUCUUCUCUCCUCUAAGCAAGAGGGGCCCCUGCCCGUUGCCCUUUCCUGGAUGGAGCAUGAGUUUUGAUGUCAGGCAGGUCUGGGUUUGAAGCCUCGUUUGUCUUGCCUUCAGAAUAACCUCUCUAAGCCUCAGUUUUAUAGCCCGAAAAUGGGGGUGAUUAUAACUCCUGAAGGGAAGUUUUGGGAUUGGCUGAUACAUAAGAUACUUAGCACAGUGCCUGGCACACAGUAAGCGAUCAAUAAAUGGUAGCAUUUAUA
RNAcentral lists this long non-coding RNA (524 nucleotides) under Homo sapiens (human). RNAcentral describes it as "non-protein coding lnc-PDCD11-2:1". Lineage: Eukaryota; Metazoa; Chordata; Mammalia; Primates; Hominidae. The record is from RNAcentral.